UAGUUAUUUUCUUUAAACCUAAAGAAUUUGGCGGUAUUUUAGUCUAUUCAGAGGAACUUGUCCCGUGAUCGAUAGUCCUCGUUUUAUCUUUCUUGAUUUUGUUAUCAGUUUGUAUACCGCCGUUAUAAGUUUAUUUUUUUAGAAUAUUUACUUUAAAUAUUAUUUUAUUAUAUUUCAGGUCAAGGUGCAGUUUAUAGUUAAGUGGAGAUGAGUUACAUUAUUUUUUUUGAAUAUAUGAAUUAUUUUUUGAAAUAUUUAUUUGAAAGUGGAUUUGAUAGUAAUUUUAAUUAUUUAAUUUUUUUGAUUUUAGCUCUAAAAUAAGUACACAUCGCCCGUCGCUCUA
Molecule: ribosomal RNA, 343 nt
Filed under: Xylica cf. graueri SB0207
Lineage: Eukaryota; Metazoa; Arthropoda; Insecta; Phasmatodea; Bacillidae
Description: partial small subunit ribosomal RNA
Source: RNAcentral